GGGAUUUGAACCCAAGCAGAUCUGCAUAGCCUCUGCACCUGCCCACGAGGCUUCACUGACUCUCGAGGAAACAAAGAGAUGUUCCAGGACUUGAACGAAUUUGGAACUGUUCCAGAGCUCAUUGUUCUCACCUUGUGGCAUAACUUAGGUAGUAGGGCAACUCCCUUACCCUUGCCUGGACUCUUACUAUCAAAGCCCUCCAUUGAUAAGGUCUAGGCCGACCACACCCUAAAGCAUUUCUUGUAUGUAUGGAUUUGUUUCUUACCUAUACCUGAAGAAUGGCGCUGGUGAGGUACCACCUUUGGGAGAAUUGAGAACAUCAUCCCUUAGGUGUGUGAAGUGACACAGUAGGAAGACGGG
RNAcentral lists this long non-coding RNA (360 nucleotides) under Homo sapiens (human). RNAcentral's name for it is "HSALNT0372521". Lineage: Eukaryota; Metazoa; Chordata; Mammalia; Primates; Hominidae. The record is from RNAcentral.